RNAcentral lists this ribosomal RNA (382 nucleotides) under uncultured bacterium. RNAcentral describes it as "bacterial SSU rRNA". It matches the Rfam family "Bacterial small subunit ribosomal RNA", at positions 362 to 758 of the family's 1533-position model. The record is from RNAcentral.
UUUUGCGCAAUGGGGGAAACCCUGACGCAGCAACGCCGCGUGAAGGAUGAAGGCUUUCGGGUUGUAAACUUCUUUUAGCAGGAAAGAAACAAAUGACGGUACCUGCAGAAAAAGCACCGGCUAACUCUGUGCCAGCAGCCGCGGUAAUACAGAGGGUGCAAGCGUUAUUCGGAAUUACUGGGCAUAAAGAGCGCGUAGGCGGUCUGAUAAGUCUGAUGUGAAAGCCCUGGACUCAAUCCAGGAAGUGCAUUAGAUACUGUUAGACUUGAGUACAGGAGAGGAGAACGGAAUUCCUGGUGUAGAGGUGAAAUUCGUAGAUAUCAGGAGGAACAACAGAGGCGAAGGCGGUUCUCUGGACUGUAACUGACGCUGAGGCGCGAAA